Gallus gallus (chicken) is the source of this 1194-nucleotide long non-coding RNA. Lineage: Eukaryota; Metazoa; Chordata; Aves; Galliformes; Phasianidae. The record is from Ensembl.
ACGGGGCUCAUUUCCCCGCCGUGCACGAAGAGCGUUCACACAGCGAAUGAGGGCGGCGGCGACGUUCCGCUUUGCGGUCUAACUUCCACCUCCGCCCGGGAGGCAGGGAAGCAGCCCUGCGCCUCGCGGCCGGCAGGGGGCAGCAUUGCCCGACACAUCCUGUGAGGCCGCCGAGAGGGGCUGGGCGGGAAGGACGCGGGUAGCUCGCCGCGUUGUGCAGCGCGCAGCAUGGCCGCCUGCAGGUAGCCGUUUUGGGUCGGUGUGCGGCUCGGGGUAGGCUGCCGGCCGCGCAGCGCUCCUAGGGAAGAAGCGCGUUUCACCUAACCUGGGAGCUAUCUGACAGGCUAUGCUGGGCUUCAGUGUGCUGCCCGAGCAGACAGUUGCUGUGUGCUGCACCUUGACGCAGCUCCGGUGCUAUGUGAAUUUAGUUCAGUUACAAAAGGCUUCUCUGCAUUUGCAUGUAUCUGGGUCUCGCUGCAGUGCAUGGAUCAGCGUGGGAGAAGGGCUGAAGUUUGCAAAGAGAGAGAGAGAGAACUCUUACAGCUGAGAAAUGUAUUUCUUCCUUCUGAACCAAUAUUCUUCUAUAGGCAACAAACUAAAGUCAAGGCAGCAACAAUUAAACAUGAGACUCAGAGAAGCUGAAGCUGUGCUUUCAUGAGCUUGCACCUCUAAUGCGGCACCAUGAUUUCUGUGUCAGAGGAACAAUGUCUUCCUUGUAAAGUGGGGUAUGUCAGUAAAGGGAUGUACUGGAGAAGUUACAGUUAUAUAGAACUGGCAACAGUUGUCCACAGCAGAAACCCAGAAGAGGGUUUUUUCCCCUUCUGUCUUGGCAAAAUCUGAAGUGGAACAAAUCUUGCAAGCAACAGAAAGCAACAAGGCUAACUACCUGGCGACUUUGAAGCUUAAAUCUCUGUUAUAACUGUGCUCCUGUCAAAGCAAACGUCCCUGCCCAGUGGACGACAGGGAGCAGCAGAGUUCUCCUUCGAGCAUCAAACCCCAACAUACCCACCCUGAGGGGUGUGUGCGGCUCUCCCUCUUACAGCCCAACAUGCCGAUGCUGUGAGGAGAGGCCUGCAGUGCAUAGCUGCCCCACUGAUGGCCCACACAGACACUGGGGUCAUGGGCUUGUGCAGCACGUUGGGACCACCAGAGGAAUCAUGCUGUGAAAUGUAUCGUUAGUGUUACAGGGUGGAU